GCUCCUUGUAACAAGUGAGCGUAAUUACAUCAGUUACUCACUAGAGCACAGACCUGCUUUAAAUUUUGGCCUCUUGGAGACAGCGAGAAGCUGAAGGACUAGAAAAUGCAGUUUGAAAGGCCUGUAACACUACGACCCAUACAAGUCAUGCUGUGCUUUUCCCUUCUCAGGAAUUAAGGUUCUCAGCCACACGUGAGGAGGAGUGAAUAUCUGUACUAGUAAUGGAAAUGGCUACCUGUUAGGACAACAGAUCUGCCGUACCUGAGAAGGAUUUAUGCUUUUUCAAAGCCUUGCCCACUAAAAAAUAUCAUAUCAGGUCCCUUUUGAAUUGAGAUUUGGUGUAAAUUAAUCAUAAAAUACCACACUUUCAAGGGCACCAAAAACUAAGAGCUUAGGGUGAGAGCUGCAUGGGCUGAGGGUGAUCCCUUAAAAAGAGCAGAGCCAACCAAACAAAGGCAUCUGUGUGCCAAAAGAAAAUGCAUUUCACCCAGCAGCAAGAUCCUAGAAGACAGAUAGGACCUAGUGGGGGAAGAAAGUGACCCUACAGAGCAGCAUUCCUGUCCAGGUGCAGGACAGGAGGCUGAUGCAUUUCUGACAGAUCAGGAGAGAAGCGUGCAGUGCUCUUGUGAGCUUAUUCGAGAAAGGACUGAAAGUCCUCUGCAGAAAGAAAGUGCUGUGGUGGGAGCAUCUUUGCUGUGCUCCAGGGGCCCAGAUCCUCUAUUGAGGUAAAUAGGUGUAGCAUGAAGGAAGCCAGUGCUCUCGCCAAAAACUUAUGCCAUGUUGGCAUGGCAGAGGCUGGCUGAUAAGGAGAAAAAUUUCUGCAUGGGAAAGAAAGGAAGCAGUGCUCUGAGUGUAGGAGAGGACUCACGUCUUAUACCCUUUUGUCCUGUAGGGAUGUGACCCUGAUGUGUGGCACAGAUGCUGCUGCAGCUUGGUGAGUUGGAAGGAUGCAGAUGAGGUGUAGGAGAAUGUAAACCAUGCAUCUGGCUGGGAGGGCCGAAUCCUCAGAGAAACUUCUUCCUGAAAAUGUCAUGAAAACUGAUGUGCCCCUAUGAAAAAUGUGGAUUUUGAUGAUUCAGCAUUUUCCCAUGGAAGAUAAAGCUCUUUUGUUCCUCUGACCAGCUCCCAGCAAACGGCUCAAGGGCAUGUGUUUCAUGCUUCCUCCCAGGAACCUGUUCCUGAAGCUGCUGAGAAACUUCCUAGGUUGUGGCCCACUCAGUAGGUGUCAUUGGAUCAGACAGUCUAAAAACUAGCAGAGUUCUUUGUUCUUACAGACCUGAAAACAUGAAAAAUAGUACUUAUGUUUUCUGUGGUAUCAGGUGUUCUCUGAUUGCAUGAGCUUCAGUGGGACCUGGGUGCUGCCUGAUUUUGGGAAGAGUUCUCAGUAGAAGUGGCUCUGCCCUGUCUCUGAGCUGAAGCUGUGGAAAGGAAGGAGCAAUGUAUCACAGGAGCCAAACUGGAGGCAUGAAAGGGACAGCAGGUUUCCACUUCUGAAGGAUACUUCUGAAAAUACUUGAGAUUUGGGUAUCUGAAACGGAAAAUACCUUUACUGAGAUGUGAGAGCUACAGGGACCUAACACCUUUGCAAGAGAUGCCUGUCUACACCAAGGACCAGGGAACUGAGACACAGAGGACAGUGUUUAAGGUAUGAAGCUGGAUUUCUGGUACAGGAGGAGCAGGCAGAACAGAAGGAGGUUGGUACUGGGACAGAUGUGUUAGCAGGCCACAGGUACUUCCAUGUUCCCAGAUGUCAUAUCCAACUUCAUGGUGACCUCUGGCCCAGAGUGAAAAUGAGGACUCAAAGGAUAUUUGAUCAUUUCCCUUUUCUGUAUGCAACUGUGAAGCCACCUUUCUUUUCAGGUGGAUCAAGAUUUUAUCCUUACUGCUAUUACCAUGCCUAACAUUCCUUUUGAGAAACCAUUGUAGUGAAAUUCUUUAAUGAGUCUGAAAUUCAGAGGUGGGUAGAGCAAAAUAAUAAUGCUAGCCAUAAUAAUAAAUAACAGCCCCAUUUUAAUUUGCAUCUCACAAAACAACAACCCAGUCCAAAUUCUCAUCUGCCGUGGAGAUAAAGAGUGCGAUUUACUCUGUCAGCUAUGGAGAACAGACACACGACAAGACAGUUACCUCCGGCCAUAAACAAACCGGAGUGGCUUUGUCUUUUAACAGGCUCCCUUCUCAUCUCCUAUGGAAUGCUACUUUCUGCCUCAUGUAACCCUCUGGACAACUCCACUGACCUAUAUUGUUUUAAUAAAUUUGAGCAGUUUGAGCUAAAGACCCUUCAAUUUUCUGAUGUUGUUGCCACUUCACAGGGCUCCCUUUCUUGCUCUGCUCUGCAAGGUUCCAUAGCUAGUAUCCUGGGAGAAGCUAAAUAAACAGCUUCCAAGUUCCAACACAACCAGUAUGUGUCAAACUUCCUUUUAAAUGUUAGCCUUGGAGGUGAGAAGGAAAAACUGAGUUGACUAGGAAAAUGUAUAACCUUUCAGAAACAGUUCUUUAUUACCUUCCUUAUCACCCCUUUAAGGUCAUAAAGAUUAUGCCAAAGAAGCUAUUAAGUUUUCCAGGAUUGCAAAAUAUUUUAUCAAUGAUAAAGAUGAAGCAUGCCGUUCCACUUUUCAAUUUUUUGCUUUAUAUUUCCUUUUAUGUUUGGGGAUUUGAUCUUAAUCUUCUGUCCGUACCUUUCUGUUUCUGUCCUGAUUGGAGGCAUGGUUAAUUGUUUCUUGUAGCCAGAAGCCUGCACUGAAUUGCAAACAGAAGACCUCUCAGGCAUUCAAAAAAAAAGAAAAAAAAGAGAGUGAACCUGGAAACUAAAAAUGUGAACACCAUGAUUCCUUUACAGGCUCAGCUUCAGAUUUUUCUCUCUGUCAUGGCUCUUGAGAUGUAUAUAAAAUUUCUGAACAGCAAUGACUGACAGCAGUGUUCCAGCAGUGACAGCAAACUGCCUUCUCUACUCGGGUUAAUUUAGGAGCUGGAUAUAUUCUCCCACCUAAAAUCAUCUGUGAAAACUCGACUCCAGAACAUCUCUAGCAGCUAAAUACUGGAGUCUGGGCUGAAAGGGCUGCACACUGGUCUCCACCAGGUUACCCUAGGGAUGAAAUAGGGAUCAAAUGUCGUAUGAUGCUGAGAUUCCGUUCCUCACACGCCACAGUGAGGAGCAGAUUAGUGUCCUGCUCAUAAUGCAUCCCCUCCAAAUCCUUCACUGGAGAAGGAUAUCCAGAGCUUUGGAGAAAUGCUGAAAAGAGGCUCAUGAGAGGCCCAAUUCUUCAUACUGAACUGGAAAAUGUUAUGAGUGGAUUGCAAAGCUCUACUGAAUAUCGAGUUAAUCCAAGAUUUACGUGCCAUAAGCCUCCAGAAAUUAGGCUGUGGUGGGCUUUAGUUAAAGUAGUGUUAGCUAACCUUUUAAGAAAGCCUGUUUUCCUUCCCUGUACAGCCUUUCAGAUAGGCCAUGCUUUCCUGAAGCAACAGAUCCUCAGCUGGCAUAACACAGAUUCAUCUCCCUGAAGCCAGUGAAGCUGGAGGUUAGGAGCAUCUGACCCCAAAACAAUUCCUCUUAAUGGUGACAUGUUUGUUGCCACCAGGCAAGAUGACAGACCGAGUGCUGGUGAUGGAAGAGUAGCAGACAGGCUACCGGCUCAAAGAUUGUCCAUUUGUGUCUCCCAUGGCAUUUAGUACAAAGAGAGGCAGAAGCAGGAAGAUGAGACUCUUCAAUGAAGUUGGCAUGAAGAAGAAGAGGCAAGUCUUGCUCAAGCUAUGUUAGAGUGGAAAAAUCUUUUAUCAGGAAGUACCAAGUAUAAAUCACAAACAGAUACUGCUUGGUUGAGACCAAUUCUGAAAGAAGACAGUAGCCAAUUAAUUAAUGCCAACUGGCAAUAAAACAGAAGAGUAUCACAACA
This is a non-coding RNA of Cyanistes caeruleus (blue tit), 3890 nucleotides long. The record is from RefSeq and is a predicted model, not a curated record. Lineage: Eukaryota; Metazoa; Chordata; Aves; Passeriformes; Paridae.